AAGUAGUUAGUUUAAGAAAAACAUUUGAUUUCGGCUCAAAAACUUGUGGUUUAAGUCCGCAACCACUUA
RNAcentral lists this transfer RNA (69 nucleotides) under Microstomus achne (slime flounder). Its description in RNAcentral is "tRNA-Arg". It matches the Rfam family "tRNA". Rfam says of the family: Transfer RNA (tRNA) molecules are approximately 80 nucleotides in length. Lineage: Eukaryota; Metazoa; Chordata; Actinopteri; Pleuronectiformes; Pleuronectidae. The record is from RNAcentral.